RNAcentral lists this ribosomal RNA (496 nucleotides) under uncultured bacterium. Its description in RNAcentral is "partial 16S ribosomal RNA". It matches the Rfam family "Bacterial small subunit ribosomal RNA", at positions 29 to 507 of the family's 1533-position model. The record is from RNAcentral.
AUGCACGCUGGCGGCGUGCCUAAUCCCUGCAAGUCGCGCGCACGGACGAGAAGCUUGCUUCUCUGAUGUUAGCGGCGGACGGGUGAGUAACACGUGGAUAACCUACCUAUAAGACUGGGAUAACUUCGGGAAACCGGAGCUAAUACCGGAUGAUAUUUUGAACCGCAUGGUUCAAAGGUGAAAGACGGUCUUGCUGUCACUUAUAGAUGGAUCCGCGCUGCAUUAGCUAGUUGGUAAGGUAACGGCUUACCAAGGCAACGAUGCAUAGCCGACCUGAGAGGGUGAUCGGCCACACUGGAACUGAGACACGGUCCAGACUCCUACGGGAGGCAGCAGUAGGGAAUCUUCCGCAAUGGGCGAAAGCCUGACGGAGCAACGCCGCGUGAGUGAUGAAGGUCUUCGGAUCGUAAAACUCUGUUAUUAGGGAAGAACAUAUGUGUAAGUAACUGUGCACAUCUUGACGGUACCUAAUCAGAAAGCCACGGCUAACUACGUG